UUUGGUUUGUUACGUGUGGUUGGCUGCGGCGUUUGCAACAACUUCCAUGCUUUCAGACCUCUUCAGUUGUGCGGCAAGGCUUGUAUCGCCUUGAGCGUAUUGCGGGUUUUCUGUGUUGGCUACCUAAUCAAUGGUAUCGGUUGGAUUGAUCAAAUUUUAUUUCGUCUUCCGUCGCGUUCGCGGCGUGAGGUGAACCUCGAUGCGGUCUCUUUGAUCCACCUCGUCGAAGCACAUGCUUUGACGUUGUGGCACAUUGAGCAUUGCUUGGUCUCUUGUAUACGGAACAUGUAGUGGGCAUGGAUCUAACGAUUCUCGUUUGCCCUCAUAUUAGCGUAACGCUUCUCUAACACGACUUGUGCCAUGUUUUAG
This 369-nucleotide unclassified non-coding RNA is filed under the name Artemisia atrata. Its description in RNAcentral is "partial external transcribed spacer". The record is from RNAcentral. Lineage: Eukaryota; Viridiplantae; Streptophyta; Magnoliopsida; Asterales; Asteraceae.